GCCAGACUCCUACGGGAGGCAGCAGUGAGGAAUAUUGGGCAAUGGGCGAAAGCCUGACCCAGCAACGCCGCGUGAGGGAUGAAGGCCUUCGGGUUGUAAACCUCUUUUCUGGGAGAAGAGACAAGGACGGUAUCCCAGGAAUAAGUCUCGGCUAACUACGUGCCAGCAGCCGCGGUAAUACGUAGGAGGCAAGCGUUAUCCGGAUUCACUGGGCGUAAAGCGCACGCAGGCGGUCAUGUAAGUCGGACGUGAAAGCUCCUGGCUCAACUGGGAGAGGUCGUUCGAUACUGCAUGACUUGAGGUUGAGAGAGGGAAGCGGAAUUCCCGGUGUAGUGGUGGAAUGCGUAGAUAUCGGGAGGAACACCAGUGGCGAAAGCGGCUUCCUGGCCCAUACCUGACGCUCAGGUGCGAAAGCGUGGGGAGCGAACGGGAUUAGAUACCCCGGUAGUCCACGCUGUAAACGAUGCGAACUAGGUGUUGGUAGUAUUAAUCCUAUCAGUGCCGUAGCUAACGCGAUAAGUUCGCCGCCUGGGGACUACGGCCGCAAGGCUAAAACUCAAAGGAAUUGACGGGGGCCCGCACAAGCAGCGGAGCGUGUGGUUUAAUUCGAUGCAACACGAAGAACCUUACCUGGGCUUGACAUGGUCGUAGUAGUGAACCGAAAGGGGAACGAGCCUUCGGGCAGCGAUCACAGGUGCUGCAUGGCUGUCGUCAGCUCGUGUCGUGAGAUGUUGGGUUAAGUCCCGCAACGAGCGCAACCCUCGCUACUAGUUAAAUCUGUCUAGUGGGACUGCCGGAGUCAAACCGGAGGAAGGUGGGGAUGACGUCAAGUCAGCAUGGCCUUUAUGUCCAGGGCUACACACACGCUACAAUGGCCGGUACAAUGGGUCGCCAAGCCGCGAGGCGGAGCUAAUCCCAUCAAAGCCGGUCUCAGUUCGGAUUGUAGGCUGCAACCCGCCUACAUGAAGUCGGAGUUGCUAGUAACCGCAGGUCAGCUAUACUGCGGUGAAUACGUUCCCGGGCCUUGUACACACCGCCCGUCACGUCAUGGGAGCUGGUAACACCUGAAGCCGGUGAGCUAACCGUAAGGAGGCAGCUGUCGAAGGUGGGGCCGGUGACUGGGACGAAGUCGUAACAAGGUAGCUGUAGCGGAAGCUGCGGCUG
RNAcentral lists this ribosomal RNA (1164 nucleotides) under metagenome. RNAcentral's name for it is "bacterial SSU rRNA". It matches the Rfam family "Bacterial small subunit ribosomal RNA", at positions 330 to 1520 of the family's 1533-position model. The record is from RNAcentral.